Pezoporus occidentalis (night parrot) is the source of this 6807-nucleotide long non-coding RNA. RefSeq lists it as uncharacterized. NCBI's taxonomy places the organism in Eukaryota, Metazoa, Chordata, Aves, Psittaciformes, Psittacidae. The record is from RefSeq and is a predicted model, not a curated record. The transcript has 3 exons.
ACGUGUGUGUGCGAGCGCGCGUGUGUGUGUUUUUGUUUUUUAGAGCCAAGAAGAUUUGCUUUGGUUUUUUUAAAGCAGAAACCACCACAAAGUUGGCUGUGGUUUCAGCUGCGCUCGUUCGAGAUUUGUACUUGCUGACUACCAAUCCUAAAAGAGUUAACCUAGUAAGGAUGACUCAGAAGCAGAGAAGGAGAUGCGAGGCUCCGAGCCUCGCAGGAAGCAGAGAAACAGAGGUGAGGAACAUAAUAAUUACCAAAAAAAGGUGCAGAGUCCAGGAGCGACGCUCCCCUCGGUUUGCCUGGCCCUGGCACCGCUGGCACGGGCUCCCUGGAAAGCUGCAGUUCCGCUCUUAUAACACAGGGAGCAGGCUGGAGAAUUUAGAGCUGCGUCACAGAGCUCAGCGAGAGAGUGAGAGAGCAAGCUCCGUCGAUAGGUCUUACCAGCAACAGCCCUGCUGCAGCAAGAGGGGAGAGAGGCAGCAAGAGAGGCAGAGAGGGCUCCAAAAAGAGAAGUAACGCUAACACCAGGGACUGUGCUCCUGCCACCAUCCAGUGUCCUUUAAAGAUCGCAUUCGGGCUCGCUUGGCGUAGGAGGCUUCGCCCAUUGACGAUGCUGGAGACCCGGCGCGCUUAAUCCCACGGGGAGGGAGAGUGGGCAGACACCAAAAGGGUUAACGGAAAGGAAAUUUCUGGAACCUUCUAUUCUGCGGCGCUACACAGCGAGCGGAGGGCUGAGGACUGCGCAGAUGGUGCACGGGCAGAGCUCUUCGGUCCGGUUCGUCUUUCUCACUGACCAGCAAUGAAGAUGGCAACUCUGCCUGGAAGUGCUGAGGACACAACCAGCUUUGAGCUUGGUCCUUCUGGCCGAGGAAGCCUCCUGAUUAUGCAGUGGAGUGGUAACUUUGCUUUCUCAUGCGGCAGGGAACGUUUUUCCAUAGCCUUUCAUCAUACUGAGGCUUAAACAAGUUUAAAGAUAGGGUAGCAUAAGCAUUUAAUCUGUAUUACUCACUCGCUGACCUCUCAAGUGUCAGGUCCGGUUGUUUAGCAACAACUGCUGGGUUCAGAACCAGCUCAAACAUGCUGCGUCCGCCGUCUCCAUUACUUCAGCGUAGCCUGUCCUGUGAGUGAGAGGGAGAGAGAGAGAAGGGCUGUAUUUACACACAUACACCCACCCUGACCAAAUUUUGGUUACAAAAGCCAUAAAGGCCGUAGGCGCUGCGGUUUUAUCCUCGGCUCCGCUCUUUUGCGCAGUGCCAUAGACGGGAGGACGCCAUUCCCAACAGCAGUGCGGAGCUAGGAGCAGGGAGGGAAGGAGAAAACAGACAGUAGGUGCCACUCCCUAGUUUUCCAGCCCCUCAUUCCCAUCUCCACCUUUCUUGCCUCUCCCUUUUUGUGCCAGAUUCCAUAGGGAAUUUCAGACUCUUACUGCAGUCGUCACAACCCCUCCUGACUCACUGAGCCUUCACUGGCUUUAGCUGGCUCCCUUGGAGCAUCCUUGCCUCCUGCAGCGCCAGUUCCGCAGAGCAGGGGAACAACAGGAAUAGCAGCAACAACGGUGGUCCCUGCAGCAAGACAGACAGGCAUAAAAACACACAAAGAUAGGAACAGGGCAGUCAUAGAGGUAAAUCUGUACAGCCAGGAGAUGGACUGAGAAACAGUGAUCUGUGGCAUAGAAGAUGGGUGGGUGGUACAGACAACCCUUUGCAUAGUUCCCCAUCACACCUGUGGGGGGAAGGACCCAGUUAAUUUGCAAAGCUGUUGUCUCUUCCAACCUGGCAUUCUAUGACAUUUCCCAGUCCUUCUAACCGAGGUGAAACUGGCAGUCAGUGCACUUGUUUGGGCAUAUACGUACUUCUUGAGUAUCUGUGUGCAGUGUUGGGAUGCAUUUGGUUUGAUUUCUUUUACUACCAUCUUUCUGCCACAGCGCUAGUUUAAUUGCGUCUAACUGCAGGGAGGGUAAGGAGACAGAGAUAAAAGAGGAGUUAUUUCAAUGUUAAACUUCAGCUGUAAAUCUCAUUACUCAGGAAUUGAGGUUACUGUCAGCAGGUAAAUCUGUGGGACUGGCAAGAAACAAGGCUAAGAAGGGGACGGACAUGGCAUAUUUCUGUAGGACAGUAGCGAUUUUGUGCAUGGGAUGGUGGUGGUGUUGUACGUGGCUAACUGUUCCAUAAUGGCUUUCUGCGUAUUGAUGCAAAAGCACUUGGGCAAGCUGUGAUUUCUUCCUCCCUCUGACACUGUGUGUGUGUGACAUUGUGUAAGCUGAUUCAUUUCUUCUAGAGUUUGGUUUCCUUCCUUUGCAAAGUGGGGUUUAUUCUACCUCUCUGCCUUAGUGCGGCAUAAUGACGCAGUGUUUAACGCGCUGGGGCUGUUGGCAAAAUACGUGCAAUUUUCGUGGGCAUUUUGAUUGUUGAAGGACUGCAAAAUUUGGUAAAGGAAGUUACGGAUUGCAAAUGCUCAUGACAUAAAUUUAAAAGCAUUACCAUCUUCUUCUUCGCUGCUAUCGAGGGAAGGCUCUCUGAAUGACACGACAGCCAUGAUCUCCUGCUGCACUUGUUUUGCCGAUGGUCAUGUUACAUCUGUGACGCAGCCCGAUUUUGCUGUUGGCUCCUUUCUGUGCUUUAUGGAGUUGAGCUGAGGAAGGCACAAGCUUGAAUACGGUCACCACUUGCACUGUCACACCCCUCUGUCCUGCACCUGGCCUUGCUCUGACUCAUUCCUUGACUGAGGAUGAUGCAUCAAGCUCCAAUUCUCUGUAUGUACAACGGGAACGCUUUCUGUAGGGGAGACCAGAGCGUGAUGAACCAUGAGUUUCACUCCACGGUUUGCACACAGGGUUAUAGAGAGAUCUGUUUUGCUGUAGGUUGUAAAAAAUCAGCUCUGUGACAUCAAGCUUGCCUUGCUCCUGCAGACUAGAUUAAAGGUCUUGGGCUAGGGAGGAAGAUCCCUUUAUGGGGGAGGCCAGGAUUUCUUCCCUUUCUGCCUUUGUCUCGUGUAGAAUGUAUAAAGCAGUGUGGAGUCCAUGAAAGGCUUUGAGAUGUUCCUCUGAAAGAAGCUACAGAACAGUACUGCUACUAAAAUGUGUUUCAAAAAGGAGCAAGAAAACAGAAUCAUAAUAUUGUACUUUUCCUACUGUUAUGUAUUGAAAACUCCAGAACCCACUGACAAAGCCAGCUAUAGCUGAUAGUACUUGCUUGUCUCCACACAUAUGUGUGUGUCCAUAUGUACACCCUGAACACACACCCAGCAAAUGUCUGAGAUGAGCACUGAUUUAUUUUUCUGCAUGGGUGGUAUUAACAGUUGAGUGCUGUGUAUCACAGGGUCUUGAACUACUUUCUUUUCCUCCUUCCCUUUGCAUGCUGCCUGCCCAAGCACGCUGCUAGGUUUGGAAAGAACAGCCUACACUGGCAGAGAUGUAUCCCUCAUAAAAAGUGUACCUGCAGUUUGGCAGAAAGGGCUGACAUCUUCUGGCUGCUUGCAGUGAAGGGGGAGCUUGUCAAGGCUAUAAGACAAGCUUCAGGUGGUCUGGAGGAAGGGCAGCAGCACUGUAAUUAUGCUGAAGUGAAACAUGGUUUUAUCAGACUAACAAAUGAGGCACUGGUCAUCGACUGCUGCAUGGGAUUUCUUGGAGAGGUUAGUCUCCUUUGGAGAGGGGAAGGUAUGCAUGGGUGUUCAGACCCAGUUCAGACUGCUGACAGAAGAGAGACUGAAAUGAGCUCUUAGGCAGAAGCUCUUCCCUGUGAGGGUGCUGAGGCACUGGCAUAGGAUGCCCAGAGAAGCUGUGGCUGCCCCAUCCCUGGCAGUGUUCAAGGCCAGGUUGGACACAGGGCCUUGGAGCAAGCUGCUCUAGUGGAAGGUGUCCCUGCCUGUGGCAGGGGGCUGGAAUUGGAUGAGGUUUAAGCUCCCUUCCAAACCAUUCCAUGAUUCUAUACCUCUAAGAGAAGCUCUCAUUUUGAGCAGCACAAACAUAACUGACAUUUCCACCAACUGUUUUCUAAAACCCUAAUAUAAAGAUUUCUUUUUACUGUUAAGCCACAUGCUUACUACCAAGACAAGAAAAAACCAAAGCAACCCCCACUUGCAGCCUGUUUCUGAAAGAUGCUGCUGUGGUACUUUAUCUGGGCUGCAACCAAGCUCUUGUCAGCAGUAACUCUCAGUCCAGCUUUUCACUGGUACGUGUUAACACUGAUAUUACAGGGUGCCUCAUAAAUAACUGUGCCAGCAAGACAGACACUGGGGAGGGAACCUGCUUUCCACUUGUCUUUCACCCUGUUGCCCCAGAUAAUGGAUUUAGAAACUACAGUAAAUAUGCAGACUGUAAUCUAGUACAGUUCUUUCCCCUUCCUCCACCCCACUUUCUUGGAAGGACAUGCUCUUUUUCUCUGAGCUUUCCUCUGCUGCCUGUGGGUGUGCAUUAGGAUGUAGGCACUGAAGCAGAUUCUUGGAUCUGGUUACAAAACUAAUGCAAAGAGCUGCCAAAAACCCAGGGCAUCAAUAAGUGAAACUCCCAGCUCCAGUUCUGCUGCACUCCAUUCCAUUUUACAUCAGCUUCUGCAUCAUCAAAGGUGAGACAUGGUGGCCAGGCUUUGGUAGAUCCUGAGUUAUGCAUGUGUGGAGUCAUACGCAGAGGUAAGACACCCCAUCUAUUCCCACUGUACAAUGCCGGGUGACUACCACGGGCUGUGCUGCACUAGAGCACUGCUCAGCCCUACUCCCAUUCCAGUAACCAUCAGCCACUAGCUUUCACACUCUCCUACUUCCUCGACAACUUUUGCUGAACCAUUUACAGUUUGAUUUGCAAAUGCUCCUUUUUUAGGUUUUGUUCUGACCCACACUUGGAGUAGUUUCCAUGCAAUUUAUUUUCGUUACCCCUAUAUGAAUUCCAAACUUGUCUCACUAAACUCCACAACUCCUUGCUUAUUACAAGCAUGCUAAUUGCAGGCUGCAUGAUACAGCUGACAGAGGCAGUUCCAUCACGAUAGUCACAUUUCCUUCCCCUGUCCCAAAGCACCUCAUCUGUCCUGUCCUCUCUGCUGAUGCUGAGCUCAGGAAGCAAUGGAAAGCCACACCACUUUCUCCCUUGGACAGAAUGAGGUUUAUAGCCUGGUUCCAUGGCAGUGGCGUGAAGAAAGCGUUCUGUACAACACAAACUCAUCACCCAGCACUAUCAUACUGCACUUCAGGAGCCUUUUUCACUGCUUGCUGGUCAAGAGCUUCAGCAUAUUCCACCUGGCUGUGAAAGGAAAUGAGUUACUGCCAGAGUGGUGGGUUUCUUCAUCACAUAUUUUCCUCCUACACCAGGCUCAACUAUUCAUAAGAUGCUAAAAAAAAUCUGUGCCAAUAAAGUAACUAACCCAAAGUUCACUGUCUUCCUUUCUAAUCAAAUUCAAUAAAUGAAUUUUUCUUUAGGUACGAUGGAGAUGAAGGAUUUUCUCUCUCAGUCUGCAGCCAAGCACCAGAUGUGUCUUCCUCUGGAAGCUGGUUUCACAUGGUGGCUUAGAUUUUCCCACUUUGUAUCUAGCACCAUUUGAAAUCAGUGUUCUAGGAGCAAGAAUUACAGCGUGGGAAGAGAGCAAGCAGCUGCUGAAUGCACCAAUGGCCUCUACUCCUUAAACCAGCACUUUCCCCACUGGCUAUUUUUUUGCCAGCCAUCCACUUUGUAACAUCAUCUGACUUCUAGACACUCAUACAAGCACUGUAUGCACCCUCUCAAGCUAGGGCCACCACAGAACAGCUGCCUUCCAAUGUAUUUCUACUUAAUAAACAAUGGAUAUGAGUUCAAGUUGUCCAGAGUAAAGUGAUCCAAAAGUUGCAUCAAAACCAAUGCAGUACUUCUUGCACCUUCACAGGCAGAGUGUGUUUCCUUUAUUAUACAGUCACUCAGAUCCUAACAUUUACUUAAAGCAAAUGUAUUUCCACUCUGUGCCUGGGGACUCUGUGGCCAUAGAACUUAUCAUUCCGUAGCUCCCUGAGACUUGCAAACACAGAACAACCUGAAGUCAGCAGUUAAACACAAAAGUGCCUUCAGCAAUCAUGCUGCUGUCAUGCUGGUACCCACAGAAUCUACUCGAAGUUUAUUACCGGUAACUUGUAGUACUGUUUCUGUAGUCUUCUAUCCCCUUGAAUCCAAACCACUAAAACGAAGCUAAACUAUUUCUUGUUCAACCUCACCAUUGUCAAACAUUCUACACAGAACAGACGAUCGCUGUGUGGAUGAAGCGUUUGAUCAGAGCACUGAAUAGUCAACUUUAAAGAACAUGUAGCUGCCAUCUACAAGAGGAUCCUUCUCUGAGCCAGGAAAAUGUCUCUUACACAGGCUGACCGAUUUCUCUUGGUGUUCAGAGUCUCAGUUUUUGUCUAGCACCAUUUGAAAUCGGUUAUGAUGUAGGGGGAAAAGCAACAGUAAUGGAAAACUUCAUUCCCCCGCCCCCCAAAGUCCUUAGAGACAAACACCACCAAAGGCACAGACUUCACUAACACGGUAUGCUUUUCUGUUCUCCGACCUGAAGUUACACCUGGCCAUCCUGCUCAGAAGGAGGACAGUCAGCAUCACGCUCAACUAGGAGGGAUGCUUCAAGAGAAAGUGAAGCAUCUGUUCAAACACCUCACUCAGAUUCUUCAACUCAAGCAAGCCAGGGCCCAUGUGUCAGCAGAGCCUCCUAACCUUGACUGGUUAUAUUCCAUGUGCUAUUUGUUUGCCUUAACCUGUUAUUUACUCAGAUCUUUUUUUUCCUUUGAAAUAAAAUUGUGUCCUACUUGGUAUCAAGCUCUGUCUCAGGCAGACAGAUGACAUGUUCCCUGCAGGACAAUA